This 498-nucleotide ribosomal RNA is filed under the name uncultured bacterium. Its description in RNAcentral is "partial 16S ribosomal RNA". It matches the Rfam family "Bacterial small subunit ribosomal RNA", at positions 28 to 507 of the family's 1533-position model. The record is from RNAcentral.
GACGAACGCUGGCGGCAUGCCUAAUACAUGCGAGUUGAACGAUGAUAUUCUCUGCUUGCAGAGAAUUGAAGAGUAGCGAACGGGUGAGUAACACGUGGGGAACCUGCCCAUGAGAGGGGGAUAACAUUCGGAAACGGAUGCUAAUACCGCAUAAUGCUUUGGACCGCCUGGUCCAGAGACGAAAGACGGCUUUUGCUGUCACUCAUGGAUGGCCCCGCGCCGUAUUAGCUAGUUGGUGAGGUAAUGGCUCACCAAAGCUGUGAUACGUAGCCGACCUGAGAGGGUGAUCGGCCACACUGGGACUGAGACACGGCCCAGACUCCUACGGGAGGCAGCAGUAGGGAAUCUUCCACAAUGGGCGAAAGCCUGAUGGAGCAAUGCCGCGUGAAUGAAGAAGGUCUUCGGAUCGUAAAGUUCUGUUAUUAGAGAAGAACAAGUCAAGGAGUAACUGUCUUGACUUUGACGGUACCUAACCAGAAAGUCACGGCUAACUACGUG